RNAcentral lists this ribosomal RNA (586 nucleotides) under uncultured bacterium. RNAcentral's name for it is "partial 16S ribosomal RNA". It matches the Rfam family "Bacterial small subunit ribosomal RNA", at positions 355 to 1375 of the family's 1533-position model. The record is from RNAcentral.
UGGGGAAUUUUGGACAAUGGGCGAAAGCCUGAUCCAGCAAUGCCGCGUGUGUGAAGAAGGCCUUCGGGUUGUAAAGCACUUUUGUCCGGAAAGAAAUGGCUCUGGUUAAUACCUGGGGUCGAUGACGGUACCGGAAGAAUAAGGACCGGCUAACUACGUGCCAGCAGCCGCGGUAAUACGUAGGGUCCAAGCGUUAAUCGGAAUUACUGGGCGUAAAGCGUGCGCAGGCGGUUGUGCAAGACCGAUGUGAAAUCCCCGAGCUUAACUUGGGAAUUGCAUUGGUGACUGCACGGCUAGAGUGUGUCAGAGGGGGGUAGAAUUCCACGUGUAGCAGUGAAAUGCGUAGAGAUGUGGAGGAAUACCGAUGGCGAAGGCAGCCCCCUGGGAUAACACUGACGCUCAUGCACGAAAGCGUGGGGAGCAAACAGGGUUAGAUACCCUGGUAGUCCACGCCCUAAACGAUGUCAACUAGUUGUUGGGGGAUUCAUUUCCUUAGUAACGUAGCUAACGCGUGAAGUUGACCGCCUGGGGAGUACGGUCGCAAGAUUAAAACUCAAAUGAAUUGACGGGGUCAUAGCUGUUUCCU